ACAAACCGGAGGAAGGUGGGGAUGACGUCAAGUCAUCAUGGCCUUACGGCCUGGGCUACACACGUGCUACGAAUGGUCGGUACAAAGGGUUGCCAAGCCGCGAGGUGGAGCUAAUCCCAUAAAACCGAUCGUAGUCCGGAUCGCAGUCUGCAACUCGACUGCGUGAAGUCGGAAUCGCUAGUAAUCGUGAAUCAGAAUGUCACGGUGAAUACGUUCCCGGGCCUU
Molecule: ribosomal RNA, 225 nt
Filed under: uncultured Pseudomonas sp.
Lineage: Bacteria; Pseudomonadati; Pseudomonadota; Gammaproteobacteria; Pseudomonadales; Pseudomonadaceae
Description: partial 16S ribosomal RNA
Rfam family: Bacterial small subunit ribosomal RNA
Source: RNAcentral